RNAcentral lists this ribosomal RNA (549 nucleotides) under uncultured bacterium. RNAcentral describes it as "bacterial SSU rRNA". It matches the Rfam family "Bacterial small subunit ribosomal RNA", at positions 153 to 695 of the family's 1533-position model. The record is from RNAcentral.
GAAAUCCGGAUUAAUACCGCAUACGCCCUACGGGGGAAAGUUGGGGAUCUUCGGACCUGACGCUAUUAGAUGAGCCCGCGUUAGAUUAGCUUGUUGGUGGGGUAAUGGCCUACCAAGGCAACGAUCUAUAGCUGGUCUGAGAGGACGAUCAGCCACACUGGGACUGAGACACGGCCCAGACUCCUACGGGAGGCAGCAGUGGGGAAUAUUGCACAAUGGGCGCAAGCCUGAUGCAGCAAUACCGCGUGUGUGAAGAAGGCCUGAGGGUUGUAAAGCACUUUCAAUUGUGAGGAAAAGCUUUUGGUUAAUAGCCUUGAGUCUUGACGUUAGCAAUACAAGAAGCACCGGCUAACUCCGUGCCAGCAGCCGCGGUAAUACGGGAGGGUGCAAGCGUUAAUCGGAAUUACUGGGCGUAAAGCGUGCGUAGGCGGUUUACUAAGUCAGAUGUGAAAGCCCCGGGCUUAACCUGGGAACUGCAUUUGAUACUGGGUAGGCUAGAGUAUGGUAGAGGGGGGUAGAAUUCCUAGUGUAGCGGUGAAAUGCGUAGAU